GUGAGGGAAAGUUGAAAAGAACUUUGAAGAGAGAGUUCAAGAGUACGUGAAACCGUUCAGGGGUAAACCUGAGAAACCCAAAAGAUCGAAUGGGGAGAUUCAACGUAAACUUUGCCGAUUGCCGUGUAACGCGCGAUAUUUGUUAUCUCGGUAACGAGUACGCCGUUGCUGCGGUUUGUAUUGGUUAAGUAAGCGUGCACUUCUCCCCUAGUAGGACGUCGCGACCCGUUGGGUGCCGGCCUACGGCCCGCAAGGUCGACUGUUGCUUGGGCGUUUACGCGCCUCUCGUGGCAGACCUGCGGAUGCCCGGCCGGCUGCCCGGCGGUAGUGAUUAAUCAAGAAUUGGUAUUUGGCCGCAUCUCGUAUGUGCGUACCGGCUCAUUGGCAGGCUCGCCUUGCUCGGUAAACGGACCUAGCGCCGUUGCCGGGUACUUGGUGGGUCGUUCGCUGACGAUGUCCUCGUACUGGCUAUUACCGGUCGGCGACGCUACUGCUUUGGGUACUUUCAGGACCCGUCUUGAAACACGGACCAAA
RNAcentral lists this ribosomal RNA (534 nucleotides) under Aphytis melinus. RNAcentral's name for it is "partial large subunit ribosomal RNA". It matches the Rfam family "Eukaryotic large subunit ribosomal RNA", at positions 353 to 670 of the family's 3401-position model. The record is from RNAcentral. Lineage: Eukaryota; Metazoa; Arthropoda; Insecta; Hymenoptera; Aphelinidae.